This 498-nucleotide ribosomal RNA is filed under the name uncultured bacterium. RNAcentral's name for it is "partial 16S ribosomal RNA". It matches the Rfam family "Bacterial small subunit ribosomal RNA", at positions 30 to 523 of the family's 1533-position model. The record is from RNAcentral.
AUUGAACGCUGGCGGCAUGCUUUACACAUGCAAGUCGAACGGCAGCGCGGGGCAACCUGGCGGCGAGUGGCGAACGGGUGAGUAAUAUAUCGGAACGUACCCAAGAGUGGGGGAUAACGUAGCGAAAGUUACGCUAAUACCGCAUACGAUCUAUGGAUGAAAGCGGGGGAUCUUCGGACCUCGUGCUCCUGGAGCGGCCGAUAUCUGAUUAGCUAGUUGGUGAGGUAAAGGCUCACCAAGGCGACGAUCAGUAGCUGGUCUGAGAGGACGACCAGCCACACUGGGACUGAGACACGGCCCAGACUCCUACGGGAGGCAGCAGUGGGGAAUUUUGGACAAUGGGCGCAAGCCUGAUUCAGCAAUGCCGCGUGAGUGAAGAAGGCCUUCGGGUUGUAAAGCUCUUUUGUCAGGGAAGAAACGGUUGGGGCUAAUGUCCCCGGCUAAUGACGGUACCUGAAGAAUAAGCACCGGCUAACUACGUGCCAGCCGCCGCCGUAA